CAGAUACUCCUUCCGUUUCAAAACUUUUGUUUUAGAUUUGUUUAGAUAUAAAUGUGUCUAGUCAAGUUUUAGUAUUUAGAUACAUUUAUUUUUAAACAAAGUUAAGACAAGAAUUUUGGAACGGACAAAGGGAGUACAAA
RNAcentral lists this microRNA precursor (140 nucleotides) under Hordeum vulgare. RNAcentral's name for it is "microRNA MIR1122". It matches the Rfam family "MIR1120/MIR1122 microRNA precursor family". The record is from RNAcentral. Lineage: Eukaryota; Viridiplantae; Streptophyta; Magnoliopsida; Poales; Poaceae.